This 65-nucleotide transfer RNA is filed under the name Terebellides stroemii. RNAcentral describes it as "tRNA-Cys". The record is from RNAcentral. Lineage: Eukaryota; Metazoa; Annelida; Polychaeta; Terebellida; Trichobranchidae.
GGUCUUAUAGUUGACAAACAACCUUAAACUGCAAAUUUAAAAGCGUAGUAUAUCUACUAAGACUU